CGGAGGAAAAGAAACUAACAAGGAUUCCCCUAGUAACGGCGAGUGAAGAGGGAAGAGCCCAAGAUUGAAAGCUGGCGUCUUCGGCGUCCGCAUUGUAAUCUCAAGAAGUGUUUUCCGCUUCGGACCAUGCCUAAGUCCCUUGGAAAAGGGCAUCAUAGAGGGUGAUAAUCCCGUACAUGGCAUGGAGCGCCCGAAGCUUUGUGAUACGCUUUCUAAGAGUCGAGUUGUUUGGGAAUGCAGCUCAAAAUGGGUGGUAAAUGCCAUCUAAGGCUAAAUAUUGGGGAGAGACCGAUAGCGAACAAGUACAGUGAUGGAAAGAUGAAAAGAACUUUGAAAAGAGAGUUAAACAGUACGUGAAAUUGCCAAAAGGGAAGGGUAGGAGGUCAGAGAUGCGGCCUGGGAUUCAGCCUUGCUUUUUGCUUGGUGUUUUUCCCAGGUGGCAGGCCAACGUCGGUUUUGGGCACUGGAGAAGGGUGGGAGGAAUGUGGCACCUCUCGGGGUGUGUUAUAGCCUCCUACUGGAUACAGCGACCGAGACCGAGGACAGCAGCGUACUCGCAAGAGCGGGCCUUCGGGCACCUUUACGCUUAGGGCGUUGGCAUAAUGGCCCUCUACCACCCGUCUUGAA
This 627-nucleotide ribosomal RNA is filed under the name Pseudozyma sp. RNAcentral describes it as "LSU rRNA". It matches the Rfam family "Eukaryotic large subunit ribosomal RNA", at positions 51 to 658 of the family's 3401-position model. Lineage: Eukaryota; Fungi; Basidiomycota; Ustilaginomycetes; Ustilaginales; Ustilaginaceae. The record is from RNAcentral.